Molecule: transfer RNA, 74 nt
Filed under: Candidatus Levybacteria bacterium RIFCSPLOWO2_01_FULL_36_13
Lineage: Bacteria; Candidatus Levyibacteriota
Description: tRNA-Gln
Rfam family: tRNA
About the family: Transfer RNA (tRNA) molecules are approximately 80 nucleotides in length. Their secondary structure includes four short double-helical elements and three loops (D, anti-codon, and T loops). Further hydrogen bonds mediate the characteristic L-shaped molecular structure. tRNAs have two regions of fundamental functional importance: the anti-codon, which is responsible for specific mRNA codon recognition, and the 3' end, to which the tRNAs corresponding amino acid is attached (by aminoacyl-tRNA synthetases). tRNAs cope with the degeneracy of the genetic code in two manners: having more than one tRNA (with a specific anti-codon) for a particular amino acid; and 'wobble' base-pairing, i.e. permitting non-standard base-pairing at the 3rd anti-codon position.
Source: RNAcentral
UGCCGAGUCGUCUAAUGGUAGGACUGCAGAUUCUGGAUCUGCCUAUUGGGGUUCGAAUCCCUGCUCGGCAGCCG